GACGAACGCUGGCGGCGUGCUUAACACAUGCAAGUCGAGCGGUAAGGCCCUUUCGGGGGUACGACGAGCGGCGAACGGGUGAGUAACACGUGGGUGACCUGCCCUCAGCUCUGGGAUAAGCCUGGGAAACCGGGUACUAAUACUGGAUAUGACUCCAUGACGCAUGUUGUGGGGUGGAAAGCCUUGUGCGGCUGAGGAUGGGCCCGCGGCCUAUCAGCUUGUUGGGU
This 227-nucleotide ribosomal RNA is filed under the name uncultured bacterium. RNAcentral's name for it is "partial 16S ribosomal RNA". It matches the Rfam family "Bacterial small subunit ribosomal RNA", at positions 28 to 254 of the family's 1533-position model. The record is from RNAcentral.